This 238-nucleotide ribosomal RNA is filed under the name uncultured bacterium. RNAcentral's name for it is "partial 16S ribosomal RNA". It matches the Rfam family "Bacterial small subunit ribosomal RNA", at positions 539 to 776 of the family's 1533-position model. The record is from RNAcentral.
CGUUGUCCGGAAUCAUUGGGCGUAAAGCGCGCGUAGGCGGCUUGGUAAGUCUGCUCUGAAAGCCCGGGGCUCAACCCCGGGAGGCGGGUGGAUACUGUCAAGCUCGAGUCCGGAAGAGGAGUGUGGAAUUCCUGGUGUAGCGGUGAAAUGCGCAGAUAUCAGGAGGAACACCAAUGGCGAAGGCAGCACUCUGGGACGUGACUGACGCUGAGACGCGAAAGCGUGGGGAGCAAACAGG